AAUCAUUUUAGGUGCGUGACUGUUCCCCUGGCCUUCCCAUCCACUGAUGAAUUAUUAGCAACGUGCCUUAGACAAAGGACGCAUGGGAGCCCCACCACACCUAGAGCCACGCUUUGAAGGAUCUGCCAAGCUCACUUUUAAUCAUGAGAAAGAAAUUACCCACAUGGAGUCAGCAGAAAAUGAGAAAGUAGAGCUCGUGCUGCGAAUAAUUCCAGCAAGUGCCAAGGGGCUAGUUGAGGAAUGGCUUCAUGAAGUGAAUAUCUUUAGCUUGUACUUAGGGUUUGGUUAGCGUAUAAUCAU
RNAcentral lists this long non-coding RNA (300 nucleotides) under Lynx pardinus (Iberian lynx). The stretch from base 63 to 254 matches the Rfam family "Rhabdomyosarcoma 2 associated transcript conserved region 9". The record is from RNAcentral. Lineage: Eukaryota; Metazoa; Chordata; Mammalia; Carnivora; Felidae.